UUCCCAAAAGUUAGUUCUGUUAUCAUUGUUCCACACUUAAAUGCACAAUGUCAAGGAAGUUGAGAACCGAAAGUUUGAAGAUGUUUAGUUUAUGACCACCAAAUUGAAUAGAUGACAUGGCUGAAUGCAUUUAUAUUUGUCCUUGCUUGACACUCUUUGGCACACUGUUUCAGUGAAGGGCAUAAAUAAUCAUUCAUAUGAGGUAUAUACAUAGGCUCAAAGUUUUUGCCACAAAUAAAUAUACCAGAUACUUGUCAAAUCUCAGAUUAUCUCCAAGUAAACAAGUAGCGUAGAUACUGGUCGGGGCGUGGUGGAA
Molecule: non-coding RNA, 316 nt
Organism: Styela clava
Lineage: Eukaryota; Metazoa; Chordata; Ascidiacea; Stolidobranchia; Styelidae
Source: RefSeq, a predicted model, not a curated record